GUAGGGAAUAUUGGGCAAUGGAUGCAAGUCUGACCCAGCCAUCCCGCGUGCCGGAAGAAGGCCCUCAGGGUUGUAAACGGCUUUUGACGGUGAAGAAUCGACAGGAUGCGUCCUGUUUUGACGGUAGCCGUUGAAUAAGCACCGGCUAACUCCGUGCCAGCAGCCGCGGUAAUACGGAGGGUGCGAGCGUUGUCCGGAUUUAUUGGGUUUAAAGGGUGCGUAGGCUGGAAGGUCAGUCAGCGGUGAAAAGCUGUCGCUUAACGGUAGUCUUGCCGCAGAUACUUCCUUGCUUGGAUGAGGAGGAGGCCACUGGAACGGAUGGUGUAGCGGUGAAAUGCAUAGAUAUCAUCCAGAACACCGAUUGCGAAGGCAGGUGGCUGUACCUUAAUCGACGCUGAUGCACGAAAGCAUGGGGAGCAAACAGGAUUAGAAACCCUGGUAGUCC
This 445-nucleotide ribosomal RNA is filed under the name uncultured bacterium. Its description in RNAcentral is "partial 16S ribosomal RNA". It matches the Rfam family "Bacterial small subunit ribosomal RNA", at positions 354 to 796 of the family's 1533-position model. The record is from RNAcentral.